UAGGAACAGGCGACAUAAAAGGGAGCGCCGCCCUGCAGCUUUCCUCUUGCUCUGCGCUCCGGCGACGGCGGUCGUGAUGCUUGAAAACGACGCCAAAGCCCUGGUCAUGACCUUCCGUCAGGACUUAUGUCGAGGUGUAGUGGCAGGUUCUCGGCGGUCCGCACCACCUUGACGAAGGAAUGGAAGCUGCUGGUGAAAUCGAAUGUUCUCCUGGCUGAUGGCAAGGUCAGAAGGAUCCUGGCUCCUCUACUGAAAGGGGUGUUGACCUCUCCUCCUGAGCUGGAUGUCCAUCUUCACUGACAGGGUGCUGAGUCGAUGCAGUUGCAGUGCGUCCAUCAGAAGUUGAUCAGCUGCAGGUUUAUCAGCUGUGGAAGGAGUCCUGGUUCUGCUGCGUAUGGAGGAACGGCUGAAUGGAGCUGGUGGACGAAGCUGUGGCUGCAGCAGCUGCUUUAAGCUGGUUAUAGUGACGUCAGUACAGGCUUGAGCGCUUCCUAAUGCAAUAAAGCGAAUGGACACUCA
Molecule: long non-coding RNA, 519 nt
Organism: Pygocentrus nattereri (red-bellied piranha)
Lineage: Eukaryota; Metazoa; Chordata; Actinopteri; Characiformes; Serrasalmidae
Exons: 8
Source: RefSeq, a predicted model, not a curated record